This 127-nucleotide small RNA is filed under the name Marmota monax (woodchuck). Lineage: Eukaryota; Metazoa; Chordata; Mammalia; Rodentia; Sciuridae. The record is from RNAcentral.
GCAGGGUGUGUUGGUGCACACCUGUAAUCCCAGCAGCUCCAGAGGCUGAGGCAGGAGGAUUGCAAGUUCAAAGCCAGCUUUAGCAUUUUAGUAAGACCCUAAGCAACUCAGCAAGACUCUGUCUCUA